CAAUUUGAAACUUUAAGGAUAUUUUUUAAGGUUUAAACAAUGAAUUUUAUUUUAAACAUUCAAAAAAGUUUCUUGUUUCUUGUUUUCUGUCUCCAACAUCUUCAACUAUAUUUCUGAAAAUAAAAAAAAUAAAAAAACAUCAAAUAGUCUACCUUCAAUCAGAACAAAAGUCCAUGGAUAAGUUAUAAAAUUACAAUAAUGUACAAACUCUCAUCAAAUUUCUUGUUCCAAUUUUCAAUGCCCAGAUCUUUGAAACUUUUCAUAAUUGUAAAAGUUGACAAGUUUGCACACCGAUUGAAGUUUUUUCACCUCCCUUAUUGAGUUAAUAAAGAUUUCCCGC
This 340-nucleotide long non-coding RNA is filed under the name Mytilus galloprovincialis (Mediterranean mussel). Lineage: Eukaryota; Metazoa; Mollusca; Bivalvia; Mytilida; Mytilidae. The record is from RNAcentral.